ACUGGACUUGGUGUCAGAUGG
Molecule: microRNA, 21 nt
Filed under: Homo sapiens (human)
Lineage: Eukaryota; Metazoa; Chordata; Mammalia; Primates; Hominidae
Description: hsa-miR-378h
Gene: hsa-miR-378h
Source: miRBase by way of RNAcentral